CUGAAGUUGAUUGCAUGCACCGGAUGUUUGGGGUGCGGCAGCCGAGAUCGCAAGGGUCCCCAGCAGCAGGACCCCCGUGAUCAGACAUCUUAUCCCUAUCAUUCAGAAGCGGGACAUGUGGGGGCCAUUCCAGGGAGGCAGGACAUGACCCCAACAACGGGAAUGUCCCACCAGAACCGGGACGAUUGGGAGGCACCACAGAAAGUAUGUACAAGCGCAGAGACCCCUGUCAAAGGCACAUAGGCAGAUAUAGUGGCCCAGAGAUACAGAGUGGAGUGCAGACGGACUCGGCUCUCUUUAUGGUGCAUUGCGUUUUACAUUUCCUCAGUCUGCUGCACACUUAUUAGCUCCGGGCUGAGCGCACAGACAGAUAUUGAGUUGGCUUAGCCGGAUUCUUCGGAAUAAAGUUUAUACGAGUUAUCGAGGAUUUGGAUAAAGGGAGGAAUUUAUCGAAAUCUGUACAGAGGAACAAUGGAGCGGUUGCCCAUAGC
Molecule: long non-coding RNA, 491 nt
Organism: Hyla sarda
Lineage: Eukaryota; Metazoa; Chordata; Amphibia; Anura; Hylidae
Exons: 3
Source: RefSeq, a predicted model, not a curated record